AAAACUGUAAGGAUAACGUAUCUCGUUAUGAUCAUUCUGUAAGUUGCUGUAUGAGCUACAAGAUUAACAUCAGAUGUACUCUCUGUACUAGACAUGUGAGGUGUACUCUGUAUCCUAGACAUGUGAGGUGUACUUUUUAUGCUAGACCAUGUGAAGUGUACUCUCCAUGGGCAGAUUGGCCAUCUGGCAAUUCUGGCAAAUGCCAGAUGGGCAGGACCAUGUUUUUGUUUGGGGAGUCUGUGUAUUUUAAUUGUUUUAUCAACAUUUAUUCGAUUCUGAAUCUCAGUCUCUUCAGCCUGCGAGUGGGUCUUAGUUUAUGAGCUGUAGUAACGAAUGACUCUGGUGUCGGAUUACAUUACAUAGCCACUGCCACUGGAGGCUGGAUAGUCCCACCAAUUUCCCACUUAUUUCAUUUGCUGAAAGGCCUGUCACUUCUCUGCAGCAAGAUAUGCAUACUGUCAAACGUAGCACAACGCUGGAAAUCUAUCCACAUCAACUAGUGCCAGCAUCGUUCUAUGACAAACACAGAAGGCUUUAUAUUGAAUUCAAUAGAACAGAGAAAGAGGGAGAGAGAGAGACUGCCAGUUCCUUAAUGUAGCCAUUGGCUGUAUUAUACAACCAAAACAUUAAGGAACUGGCCGUCUCUCUCUUCUCUCUCUGUUUUUAUUAUAUUUUCAUUAUAUGUAGCCUAAUAUUUAAACACUUAGCUAAGUGGGCAGGGGGGAACACAUGACAUGCACUAAUUUGAAAUACACUCACCGGCCAGUCUAGUACCGGGUCGGAUCCCCCUUUGUCUCCAGAACAUCCUGAAUUAUUCGGGGUAUUCUACAAGGUCUCGGAAAAGUUCCACAGGGAUGUUGGUCCAUGCUGAUGUGAUGGCAUCACACAGUUGCUGCAGAUUGGAUGGUGGUACUGUCUGGAUGUUGCUGGGCCCAGCAAAGGCAGUGUGGUCCCCUGGUCUUCUGGUAUCAGUGCUGUGGGAAAGGAUGCUAGGCUUAGCAGAGACAGCUCAGAGGUUAGUGCAGUGGAGGAGUGACAGACAGACAGACAACAGAGGAGAACAAGGAAAAGCACAGACAGAGUGACACCAGAGAAGAUGCAGAGACAGACUGCACAACAGGGAGGCAACAGCGGCACAGUUACAGUGACAGAGAAUCAGACAGAGAGAGGGAGGUAGAGAAAGAGAGAUAGAGAGAGAGAGGGAGUGUGUCGCAUUCCUUCCUGUACCACCCUCCAACCCCAGAGCUGCAGACUCAAGGCGGUUUCCAGAAUCAAACAAUUUCACGCAGCUACUGGAGGAGGAAAUGAACUGAGCCCAGAGCAAUAAUAAAAUUAUACAAAUGUUAUUACAGACUCGCCUGCUACUGUCCUACUUUAAUUCAAAUUUGGGCACUCCAGGCAGGGCUGGUGGCAGAGACCUUCCUGAAUAAAUCAACAUUAGCUUACGUCUAAAUUAUUAAGGAAGUGAGAGACUUUCUUGUUUAUAGUAUGAAUUAUUAAACAAGUGUUUAACGCUGUUUUUCUUCAUGAAUCCCCAAAUAUUA
This 1544-nucleotide long non-coding RNA is filed under the name Salmo salar (Atlantic salmon). RNAcentral describes it as "lncRNA (ENSSSAG00000116326.1)". The record is from RNAcentral. Lineage: Eukaryota; Metazoa; Chordata; Actinopteri; Salmoniformes; Salmonidae.